ACAAACUAGAUGAUGCAAUACUUAUUGAGCUGAUUUAGUGAAACAUGCGUCAGGGGCAUUGCUGAGUCCACAAUACUGCUUGUGGUUUUCUUUUUAUUUCUGAUUUUUUGACAUUUUUCUUUUUAUUGCCAUUAUACUUAUUUUAGGAGCGAGUGGUUUUGAUUCCAAAUUAGGGUCAUUUUAGGGCUAAGGGGUGCCCUCGAAGGCACUAUAGGGACAGCUAUUUGGUUAUCCUCCCUUCCUUUAUUCCCCUUUACCCACCCUGCCCCAUACUUGGUAGUAUUGUAGGAAUUCUCCUUAAGUGUCAGAACGUAGCUGACAGUUAUUACUAUCUUGGUUACAUUUUGGAUACAACCUCAGAGCUACUGUUAUACAUAGUUGCUAAUCAAGAUAGUACUUUAUUGGAAACCACUCAGUCAGUAUUUACUAUUUAUUAAUUGCCAGUGGAUAUCCUGUUAUUACACAGUCUUAUUUAUAUAGGAUCCAUUGCAUUAUAUUUAAUCCCUCUCUAGGGAAGGUUAUAAUUUCUCAGCAGUUUGGACCAGCUCCUUUUCUCAUUUUAAAUCUAUGUUUAAUGAACAUGCACUUAGUACUAUUAGUUCUGUAC
This is a non-coding RNA of Pelobates cultripes (western spadefoot toad), 607 nucleotides long. NCBI's taxonomy places the organism in Eukaryota, Metazoa, Chordata, Amphibia, Anura, Pelobatidae. The record is from the annotation of a GenBank genome assembly.